GCUUCCUUGCUCCUCUCUCUCUCUCUCUAUCUGGCGAUUCCAGAUCUGGAUCUAGGGUUUUUCUCCAAGGCGAUUCAAGAUCUACCUUUCUCAUUAACAUCGGAUCGAUAAACAAAUCUCAAUGCAUUCUCCAUUCAGAUCUAGCCUUUCACCGGAGACUCGGAGAUCCCAAUCGCAGCCACCACCGCCGUUCGCAACCACCACAACCGCUCUGAACAACCACCACCGUCUAAAAAUGGUUUUUUAAGUUGGUUAGGGUCUUUUACCCUACAUACGAUAUCAGGUGAGUUUUGGUUUCGAUCGUUUAAUUUCCGGCCAUAUGAGUUUUGCUUUACGACUUUGCUUUUUGUUCUAAGCAAGUGUAUGUCUCUUCUCUAGCCUUUCUCAAGAUGCUUAAACACAACAGGUUUGAGGGUACACCAAAAAGAAGCUCAUUGUUACCAAGAACCAGGACGUAGCAAUCUAAUAAACUUUUAUGAUGCAUACGAGGACCAUGGUUAUGUCGUCCUUGUAAUGGAGUUAUGUGAAGGAGGAGUGCUUUUAGAUAGAAUACUUUCAAGGGGCAGAAAAUACACGGACUAUGAUGCUAAGGGGGUGUUAAUACAAAUGUUGAUAGUUGUUGCGUUUUGUCAUCUUCAAGGUGUGGUUCACCGGGACUUAAAGCCCGAGUUUCAUAAUGUCAAAUUGGCUAAAUUCCAAAUGCAGCUGUAUGUUACGAUGCAAAAGAGCUGAUAUUGUUGGGUCUCAGUUUUGGUCAACACUCUGCAAAAGGCACUAUCGAGAACUGGUUGCAUCAAAUUUGGCGGCAUCAUAUUGCAAAAUGGGCUGCUGGUUUUGUGGGCGUCUCGCAUAAUACUUGCCCCCGAUGGAGACGCGCCUGGUCAAGCCUUAGCUGAAGAGCUAUCAUGCCGCCUUGGAAAAGAAAGGUCUUGACGAGUCACUUGGCCAAGUAAAAAUGAAAAUGAGCGUUUUAAAGAUGCUAAUGAGGUUCUCAUGUUCAUGGGCCCAGCUGUAUUGAGGGAACUUAUUGAGUCUGCUGAAUUGUACCCUAUUAAAGGGUUACUCAACUUCAGAUAUUACUUCAGUGAAAUUGAUGCAUAUUACCAUCAAACCCUUGGUAUGGAGCAUUUCAACCGGAUGGAAAGCAUUGGAGGAUUUAUAUAAUGUUGUGCCGGGAGAGUUGAACGUAGUCACCGGAGUACUCAAUUCAGGAAAGACUGAGUGGAUUGAUGCAUUGUUAUGUAAUCUUAAUCGAAGCGUUGGUUGGAAGUUUGCACUCUGCUCAUUGACAACAUUAAAGAAUAUAAUAAAUGUUAUCAUAUAAGUUACAUGUAUAGCACACUGAUAAGUGGUUGUAUUUUUGAUUCCCUACCACUGGUCAACAUGUUUAUCAAGGAACUCGGUUGCGUUUCAUAUUAUAUUCAGAC
Molecule: RNA transcript, 1427 nt
Organism: Helianthus annuus (common sunflower)
Lineage: Eukaryota; Viridiplantae; Streptophyta; Magnoliopsida; Asterales; Asteraceae
Gene name: calcium-dependent protein kinase 18-like
Exons: 10
Source: RefSeq, a predicted model, not a curated record